This 200-nucleotide ribosomal RNA is filed under the name uncultured bacterium. RNAcentral describes it as "partial 16S ribosomal RNA". It matches the Rfam family "Bacterial small subunit ribosomal RNA", at positions 199 to 385 of the family's 1533-position model. The record is from RNAcentral.
GGAGAAAGCAGGGGACCUUCGGGCCUUGCGCUAUCAGAUGAGCCUAGGUGGGAUUAGCUAGUUGGUGAGGUAAUGGCUGACCAAGGGCGACGAUCCGUAACUGGUCUGAGAGGGAUGAUCGGUCACACUGUAAGGGAGACGCGGUCCAGACGCCUACGGGAGGCAGCAGUGGGGAAUAUUGGACAAUGGGCGAAAGCCUG